This 253-nucleotide ribosomal RNA is filed under the name uncultured bacterium. Its description in RNAcentral is "partial 16S ribosomal RNA". It matches the Rfam family "Bacterial small subunit ribosomal RNA", at positions 524 to 776 of the family's 1533-position model. The record is from RNAcentral.
UACAGAGGUGGCAAGCGUUGUUCGGAAUUACUGGGCGUAAAGGGCGCGUAGGCGGCCUUCUAAGUCAGACGUGAAAUCCCCAGGCUUAACUUGGGAACUGCGUCUGAUACUGGGAGGCUUGAGUGCGGGAGAGGGAUGUGGAAUUCCAGGUGUAGCGGUGAAAUGCGUAGAUAUUGGGAGGAACACCAGUGGCGAAGGCGGCUACCUGGACCGGUUCUGACGCUGAGGCGCGAAAGCGUGGGUAGCAAACAGG